RNAcentral lists this long non-coding RNA (900 nucleotides) under Prunus persica (peach). RNAcentral's name for it is "long non-coding RNA (PPER_LNC002995)". The record is from RNAcentral. Lineage: Eukaryota; Viridiplantae; Streptophyta; Magnoliopsida; Rosales; Rosaceae.
CCACGUGUCAAAUGCGUAAAGCUAUACUAUUUUUGGCCCAAAAAAAAGGAAGAUGAGUACAGCCGCGUGGCUAUACUGUAUAUGUAUGUAUACGGACCCAGCCAGCGCUUACGCGCCACGCUUCGAACGAGUAGAACUGUUUUUUUUUUUUUUAAACAGUAUAGCUGCACGGCUAUACGAUUUUUAAAAGCAAUUAAUUGGAAAACUGAGUAUUGCUGGGCGGUUAUACUAUUUUAUUUAUUUAUUUAUAGUAUAUAUCAUUUUUAUUCAAUAAUAUGUGAGAAUUAUGUUUGAUGUUUGAUCCACAUGAUUUGGAGUGCCAUAUAGCAAGUCUGUUGGAGCUGCGUUUUCCCCUCCUAGAGGUGCCUUAAAUAUAUACCUUUCUGGAUCAACUCAACUUACAAGGGCUAGAAAUGGAGAGGAUGAAGCAAAGCCAAGAGGAAGCCUAAGCAAGUGAAACUCUCGCGAAUAGGAGAAGAAGUCUAUCAGCUCAAACUGAGAAAGAGGGGUGCAAACGGGGAACCACUUACACCGCCCUUUACUCUCUAACUAAGAAACGCGAGGAGUCUUCGGCAAAGCAACUCAAGACGGAGGUACACAGCUCGGAGCGGAUGGUUGGUGUAUCCCAUAAGCCCUUGUUAGCUUUCUCAACUUUCCAAUGUGUGACAUUUUCACCUUCACAUUCUCACAUGAUUAGGGUCGGCCUUGAGGUUUUAGUGGCCCACUACCAUAUAUUAAAUGAGGCUUUUUUAUCUGAUUUUUUUGUCAUAAUUUUUUUUUAAAACACAAUCGAUAAUAAAUAAACCAAAAGUACCACAAAGAUAAAAAUUAAAUUUAAAUAGCAAACAAAGAGGAAUAAAACCUGAUUUACUUAUAGGAAGGAACUACACUCUCCACCUU